CGGUAAAAGCUCAAAUUUGAAAUCUGGCUCUUUUAGAGUCCGAAUUGUAAUUUGUAGAAGAUGCUUCGGGUGUGGUUCCGGUCUAAGUUCCUUGGAACAGGACGUCAUAGAGGGUGAGAAUCCCGU
This 126-nucleotide ribosomal RNA is filed under the name Botrytis cinerea. Its description in RNAcentral is "partial large subunit ribosomal RNA". It matches the Rfam family "Eukaryotic large subunit ribosomal RNA", at positions 99 to 224 of the family's 3401-position model. Lineage: Eukaryota; Fungi; Ascomycota; Leotiomycetes; Helotiales; Sclerotiniaceae. RNAcentral also lists the same sequence under 1 other name. The record is from RNAcentral.